Molecule: non-coding RNA, 331 nt
Filed under: Cephalotus follicularis
Lineage: Eukaryota; Viridiplantae; Streptophyta; Magnoliopsida; Oxalidales; Cephalotaceae
Description: Eukaryotic large subunit ribosomal RNA
Rfam family: Eukaryotic large subunit ribosomal RNA
Source: Rfam by way of RNAcentral
CUCUAGUCCGACUUUGUGAAAUGACUUGGGAGGUGUAGGAUAAGUGUGAGCCCUCAGGCGAAGGUGAAAUACCACUACUUUUAACGUUAUUUUACUUUUAACCCUUAUCUACUUUGUUAGCUUGGCAUUUUCACCUAUAGCUUUUAUUGGACUGAACUAUGACUUGAAAGUUCCAAAGAUUGAAUUCUUAUCACAUGCAAAGCCUUCAUUGUUUGAGUAUCCAAAGCCAACAACUGUGCCCACCACUACAUCAGCUGUGAAACUUCCUACUGCUGUUCUGUCAACGUCAGCUAAGGCUAAAGCUAGGGCCAAGAAAGAAGCAGACCAGAAG